CAGUAGCCGCGGGAAUGCGUAGGUGGCAAGCGUUGUCCGGAAUUAUUGGGCGUAAAGGGCGCGUAGGUGGUCACGAUAGUCAGAUGUGAAAUUCCUGGGCUUAACCCGGGGACUGCAUUUGAUACUGUGUGGCUUGAGUGUGGAAGAGGGUCAUGGAAUUCCCAGUGUAGAGGCGAAAUUCGUAGAUAUUGGGAAGAACACCGGUGGCGAAGGCGGCGACCUGGUCCAUAACUGACGCUGAGGCGCGAAAGCGUGGGGAGCAAACAGGAUUAGAUACCCCGGUAGUCCCUGUCUCUUAUAC
RNAcentral lists this ribosomal RNA (301 nucleotides) under uncultured bacterium. RNAcentral's name for it is "partial 16S ribosomal RNA". It matches the Rfam family "Bacterial small subunit ribosomal RNA", at positions 509 to 807 of the family's 1533-position model. The record is from RNAcentral.